This 253-nucleotide ribosomal RNA is filed under the name uncultured bacterium. RNAcentral describes it as "partial 16S ribosomal RNA". It matches the Rfam family "Bacterial small subunit ribosomal RNA", at positions 524 to 776 of the family's 1533-position model. The record is from RNAcentral.
UACGUAGGUGGCAAGCGUUGUCCGGAUUUACUGGGCGUAAAGAGCGCGCAGGCGGUCGAUCAAGUCGAGUGUGAAAGCCCCCGGCUCAACUGGGGAGGGUCAUUCGAUACUGAUCGACUCGAAGGCAGGAGAGGGUAGUGGAAUUCCCGGUGUAGUGGUGAAAUGCGUAGAUAUCAGGAGGAACACCAAUGGCGAAGGCAGCUCGCUGGGACGGUACUGACGCUGAGGCGCGAAAGCGUGGGGAGCAAACAGG